GACGGACGCUGGCGGCGUGCUUAACACAUGCAAGUCGAACGGAAAGGCCCUGCUUUUGUGGGGUGCUCGAGUGGCGAACGGGUGAGUAACACGUGAGUAACCUGCCCUUGACUUUGGGAUAACUUCAGGAAACUGGUGCUAAUACCGGAUAGGAGCUCCUGCUGCAUGUUGUGGGUUGGAUAGUUUCGGCGGUUGGGGAUGGACUCGCGGCUUAUCAGCUUGUUGGUGGGGUAGUGGCUUACCAAGGCUUUGACGGGUAGCCGGCCUGAGAGGGUGACCGGCCACAUUGGGACUGAGAUACGGCCCAGACUCCUACGGGAGGCAGCAGUGGGGAAUAUUGCACAAUGGGCGGAAGCCUGAUGCAGCAACGCCGCGUGCGGGAUGACGGCCUUCGGGUUGUAAACCGCUUUCGCCUGUGACGAAGCGUGAGUGACGGUAAUGGGUAAAGAAGCACCGGCUAACUACGUG
Molecule: ribosomal RNA, 468 nt
Filed under: uncultured bacterium
Lineage: Bacteria
Description: partial 16S ribosomal RNA
Rfam family: Bacterial small subunit ribosomal RNA
Source: RNAcentral